UACGUAGGGUCCGAGCGUUGUCCGGAAUUAUUGGGCGUAAAGGGCUCGUAGGCGGUUUGUCACGUCGGGCGUGAAAACUCAGGGCUCAACCCUGAGCGUGCGUUCGAUACGGGCAGACUAGAGGUAUGCAGGGGAGAACGGAAUUCCUGGUGUAGCGGUGGAAUGCGCAGAUAUCAGGAGGAACACCGGUGGCGAAGGCGGUUCUCUGGACAUUACCUGACGCUGAGGAGCGAAAGCAUGGGGAGCGAACAGG
Molecule: ribosomal RNA, 253 nt
Filed under: uncultured bacterium
Lineage: Bacteria
Description: partial 16S ribosomal RNA
Rfam family: Bacterial small subunit ribosomal RNA
Source: RNAcentral